AUACGGAGGGUGCAAGCGUUACUCGGAAUCACUGGGCGUAAAGGACGCGUAGGCGGAUUGGAAAGUCAGAUGUGAAAUCCUACAGCUUAACUGUAGAACUGCAUUUGUAACUUCUAAUCUAGAGUAUGGGAGGGGGAGAUGGAAUUAGUGGUGUAGGGGUAAAAUCCGUAGAUAUCACUAGGAAUACCGAAAGCGAAGGCGAUCUCCUGGAACAUAACUGACGCUAAGGCGUGAAAGCGUGGGGAGCGAACAGGAUUAGAAACCCCAGUAGUCC
RNAcentral lists this ribosomal RNA (274 nucleotides) under uncultured bacterium. RNAcentral describes it as "partial 16S ribosomal RNA". It matches the Rfam family "Bacterial small subunit ribosomal RNA", at positions 523 to 796 of the family's 1533-position model. The record is from RNAcentral.